GCGUCGAUGGUGCAACGGUUCAGCACACGCUUUGGGAAGAGCGAGUUCUGAGUUUGAAUCCCGGCUGACGCA
Parelaphostrongylus tenuis is the source of this 72-nucleotide non-coding RNA. The record is from the annotation of a GenBank genome assembly. Lineage: Eukaryota; Metazoa; Nematoda; Chromadorea; Rhabditida; Metastrongylidae.